UUGGGACUUGUUAAGCCUAAAGGCGUAAUGAAAGUGAAAAUCGGCCUUAGCGUCGAUCGAGGGAGGAUGGCUCGCGUUACGAUGCGAGCCCGCACUCCCGGGGCGUCUCGUGCUCAAUGCGAGCAGAGGCGCACCCAGAGCGUACACGUUGGGACCCGAAAGAUGGUGAACUAUGCCUGGUCAGGACGAAGUCAGGGGAAACCCUGAUGGAGGUCCGUAGCGAUUCUGACGUGCAAAUCGAUCGUCGGAACUGGGUAUAGGGGCGAAAGACUAAUCGAANNNNNNNNNNNNNNNNNNNNNNNCCAUCUAGUAGCUGGUUCCCUCCGAAGUUUCCCUCAGGAUAGCUGGCACUCGCUUGAGCGAGUCUCAUCUGGUAAAGCGAAUGAUUAGAGGCCUUGGGGCCGAAACGACCUCAACCUAUUCUCAAACUUUAAAUGGGUGAGAUNUCUGGCUUGCUUGAACGUUGAAGCCAUGAGAUUAUAAAUUGGAUCAGAGUGCCAAUGGC
Molecule: ribosomal RNA, 505 nt
Filed under: Cymoninus notabilis
Lineage: Eukaryota; Metazoa; Arthropoda; Insecta; Hemiptera; Ninidae
Description: partial 28S ribosomal RNA
Rfam family: Eukaryotic large subunit ribosomal RNA
Source: RNAcentral